UUUCCCUUAGGAUAGCUGGCACUCGCUUGAGCGAGUCUCAUCUGGUAAAGCGAAUGAUUAGAGGCCUUGGGGCCGAAACGACCUCAACCUAUUCUCAAACUUUAAAUGGGUGAGAUCUCUGGCUUGCUUGAACGUUGAAGCCAGAGAUUUUUUUUGCAAUGGAUCAGAGUGCCAAGUGGGCCAAUUUUGGUAAGCAGAACUGGCGCUGUGGGA
Molecule: ribosomal RNA, 213 nt
Filed under: Monodontomerus sp. D1631
Lineage: Eukaryota; Metazoa; Arthropoda; Insecta; Hymenoptera; Torymidae
Description: partial 28S ribosomal RNA
Rfam family: Eukaryotic large subunit ribosomal RNA
Source: RNAcentral